This 914-nucleotide long non-coding RNA is filed under the name Panicum hallii. RNAcentral's name for it is "long non-coding RNA (PHAL_LNC000433)". Lineage: Eukaryota; Viridiplantae; Streptophyta; Magnoliopsida; Poales; Poaceae. The record is from RNAcentral.
CUCCCCCAUCUCGCUACCCCAACAACAAGCUUCCCAGUUCGUGAGGUGAGGUAUCCCUUUGAUUCUCCAAAACUUUGUGCCUGUGGCAAAUUUUCCAUUGAACUGAACCCCGUUUGAUACUCCAAAUCAUUUCUGUUCUUGCGCUUACCACUGAAUUGAACCCGUUGGGUUGGGAGAUUCUGUUUCGUCAGGCUAGAACUAAAGCUGUGGUUGUCAGGCUAGAUUCAGUUGUAGGCUUUUCUUUCUUUCCUUGGAAAAUCAGUGUGCGUCUAUUUGGAUUAUUAUUUGCAGCUUUACCAUUCCGUGGACUCAUAAUGUGCCUUUUCUCAGGUGCACAAGGCGCAGAUCGUUUUGAUCUAAGAGGGGGAAGUCCUGACACCAGUAGAACAUCAAAUAGAUCCACCCAGUUAGUUCUGCCCAGCUCGGGACCAAUGAAAGCAUUAGUGCUGGAUCCAACCGGGGAGCAAGGAGUAGCCUUUGGUCCUGGUUGGAGCCACCAAUCGGAACAAAAGGUUCAUCAUUAGUUCUGGUUUGGGGCUCUAACAGGGACUAAUGGCGCGCGGCACAGUUAGUUCCGGUGGCAGCCUCCAACUAAGACUAAAGACGCCACUUUAGUUUGGGUUGGAACCACCAACCGGAACUAAAUUCCUAGGAUUUUUUUUUCUUUCUCCUUCCCUCUGCCCGAGCCAUUCUUCCAUUCAUGUUCUUCCUCCUCCUCACUUGGGUGAGGGGAGUUCAUACCCAUUUUUCCCAAGAUUCGUGAAGGCUUUUGAUUUUCCCUCCAUCCAAAGGUUAGAAACUUUAUCCUCUCAAAUUUUAUUGCUAGCGGAGCUCAUUUCAUGGGUUAGAAAUAGAGAAAUUUGAGGUUAUUUAGAUAGAGAAAAAUGUUAGAAUUUUUUUGAUUUAUAGAGAAA